AUUUUUCAGAUGGUUUCUUAGCUCUCCAAUACAAUAAAAAGAACACGUAAAUAUAGGGGAUAAUGAAAUCCUUACUAACAGGUGUCAGUUAACUUUAGCCCUUUUCUCGCAGAAACCACGCUUCAUCCCUGAAGUACGAGAGACUCCUGAGACAAGGGUGAAUUAUUUGCCCUGUUCAAAUAGAUAACUAUAAUUUACAGUUUUUCAUUUCAGUUAUUUUCUUUGUAGAUGUAUCUUUCCAAAGUUAUAAAGUCAAUUUGAUUUUUCCUGAAUAAUCAUGUUACACCCUGAGGUGAUGAAAGAAGAUUCGAGAACCCAGCUGCUUUCCUGUAUUCAAAACUGGUUGAAAGCACGAAGGUUUAUUCUUCUUCUUGUUUAUAUAAAAGGGUGAAGUCCAUAUCAAUUAUAUGGUUUUCAAGAUCCUGCAUUAUCUAUGGUUUAUUCAACCAACCACAAUCUUGGCUUUCCUAAGAUUGGCACCAAUCAUGAAAAAAAUCCAUUUUUCCCUACAGGAAAACAAUUCUUACCUCGAUUUCUAAAUGUGAGGGAAUUCAUGGCUCUGAAUUGUGGUAAUCAAGUAUUCUCAAUUUGUUACAGACAGUUGCCUUAUCUUAUAUUAAUAUUUCCAAAUAUUCAUUCAGACACUUCUCCAUGUGGAUCACUUCUCUCAAGCACAUACUAUUCUAAACAGCCAACUUGCUGUUUAACUCUUCCUCAAGCAUCAGGCUUUAGCUUAGGUACAAAUUUUUAUAGGAUGCCUACCCUACAAGGUAGGUAUGUGGGGUCCUACCUGCGUGUGCACAUAGCAUCCUGCAUUUCCUCCAUCGAAUGGUUAUUAUAUCUUGAUUUCCUAUUCACUUAAUUGUAUUGUCUACUAGACUCUUAGCUCCAUGAGGGCAGGGGCUCUUUCUCUCUUGUUCACACAUCUGUACUCAGUUCUGGAUAGUGCUUAGAACCAUUAGAUGCUCAAUUAACAUUAGUUAAGUGAAUUAAUGUAGCAAAUAUAUGUUAGAGUUCUAAGCCUUAUGUCAUAUUGUUCCUUUUUUGGGAAAGCCCACAUUUUUGUUUAUAUUUUUGUAUUAAAUAUUAUUUAUUUACAAAUAAUCUCAAAUAUACAGAAAAGUUGAAAGAACAGUGUAAAGAAUUUCUUUUCCUGAACUAUUUGAGACUACAUUGCCAAAUUGUUGCCUCAUGAUCCCUUAAUCUCUUUGGGCUGCUGUAACAAAAUACCUUAGACUGAGAAAUUUACAAACACAGAAAUUAAUUGCUCAAAAUUCUGAAGCCUGGGAAGUUCCAGAUUAGGUGCAGCUCUUUCAGUGUCUGGUGAGGGUCCAUUCCUCAUAGAAAGUGCCUUCUAUGCGUCCUCCUAUGGUGGAAGGGCAAGGAGACUCCUCCUCCAAGUUUCUUUUAGAAGGGCAUUAAUUCCAUUCCUGAGGGCUUCACUCUCAUGACCUAAUCAUCUUUUAAAUGAUGAUUUUAACCCUGCCUCUUAAUAUCAUCCCAGGGUGGCUUAGGUUUCAGUAAAUGAAUUCACAGGGUGGGGAGGGGACACAAAAAUAUUCAGACCAUAGUAACUCAUAAUACUUUUAACAUGUGUUUUCUAAAUGUUUUCUAAAACACAUGGACAUUCGCCUAUAUAACCAACAUGGAACCACUGAAAUUAGAAAAUACAAGAUAAGUGACUACUAAUUUUCAGACCCUUUUCAAUUCUUGUCAAAUGUACCAAUACAUCCUGAUCCAUACAUGGAAAUGGCAGGUCUGUUGGAUGGAAGAAAUGAAUUAACCAAUCCCUGAGCUACCUUAACUCAUGA
Molecule: long non-coding RNA, 1811 nt
Filed under: Homo sapiens (human)
Lineage: Eukaryota; Metazoa; Chordata; Mammalia; Primates; Hominidae
Description: HSALNT0091389
Source: RNAcentral